UACACAGGAUGAACGGGCCAGGGCAGU
RNAcentral lists this non-coding RNA (27 nucleotides) under Macaca fascicularis (crab-eating macaque). The record is from RNAcentral. Lineage: Eukaryota; Metazoa; Chordata; Mammalia; Primates; Cercopithecidae. RNAcentral also lists the same sequence under 1 other name.